RNAcentral lists this ribosomal RNA (219 nucleotides) under uncultured bacterium. Its description in RNAcentral is "partial 16S ribosomal RNA". It matches the Rfam family "Bacterial small subunit ribosomal RNA", at positions 335 to 539 of the family's 1533-position model. The record is from RNAcentral.
ACUCCUAGCGGGAGGCAGCAGUGGGGAAUAUUGCACAAUGGGGGAAACCCUGAUGCAGCCAUGCCGCGUGUGUGAAGAAGGCCUUCGGGUUGUAAAGCACUUUCAGUAGGGAGGAAGGUAGUGUAGUUAACACCUGCACUAUUUGACGUUACCUACAGAAGUAAGCACCGGCUAACAUUCCCGNGUCCAGCAGCCGCGGUAAUACGGAGGGGUGCGAGC